This 468-nucleotide ribosomal RNA is filed under the name uncultured bacterium. Its description in RNAcentral is "partial 16S ribosomal RNA". It matches the Rfam family "Bacterial small subunit ribosomal RNA", at positions 28 to 507 of the family's 1533-position model. The record is from RNAcentral.
GACGAACGCUGGCGGCGUGCUUAACACAUGCAAGUCGAACGGAAAGGCCCUGCUUUUGUGGGGUGCUCGAGUGGCGAACGGGUGAGUAACACGUGAGUAACCUGCCCUUGACUUUGGGAUAACUUCAGGAAACUGGGGCUAAUACCGGAUAGGAGCUCCUGCUGCAUGGUGGGGGUUGGAAAGUUUCGGCGGUUGGGGAUGGACUCGCGGCUUAUCAGCUUGUUGGUGGGGUAGUGGCUUACCAAGGCUUUGACGGGUAGCCGGCCUGAGAGGGUGACCGGCCACAUUGGGACUGAGAUACGGCCCAGACUCCUACGGGAGGCAGCAGUGGGAAAUAUUGCACAAUGGGCGGAAACCUGAUGCAGCAACGCCGCGUGCGGGAUGACGGCCUUCGGGUUGUAAACCGCUUUCGCCUGUGACGAAGCGUGAGUGACGGUAAUGGGUAAAGAAGCACCGGCUAACUACGUG